Molecule: ribosomal RNA, 577 nt
Filed under: Colletotrichum sp. ITCC 6166
Lineage: Eukaryota; Fungi; Ascomycota; Sordariomycetes; Glomerellales; Glomerellaceae
Description: eukaryotic LSU rRNA
Rfam family: 5.8S ribosomal RNA (bases 216-369)
Source: RNAcentral
CGUAACAAGGUCUCCGUUGGUGAACCAGCGGAGGGAUCAUUACUGAGUUUACGCUCUAUAACCCUUUGUGAACAUACCUAUAACUGUUGCUUCGGCGGGUAGGGUCCCCGUGACCCUCCCGGCCUCCCGCCCCCCGGGCGGGUCGGCGCCCGCCGGAGGAUAACCAAACUCUGAUUUAACGACGUUUCUUCUGAGUGGUACAAGCAAAUAAUCAAAACUUUUAACAACGGAUCUCUUGGUUCUGGCAUCGAUGAAGAACGCAGCGAAAUGCGAUAAGUAAUGUGAAUUGCAGAAUUCAGUGAAUCAUCGAAUCUUUGAACGCACAUUGCGCCCGCCAGCAUUCUGGCGGGCAUGCCUGUUCGAGCGUCAUUUCAACCCUCAAGCUCUGCUUGGUGUUGGGGCCCUACAGCUGAUGUAGGCCCUCAAAGGUAGUGGCGGACCCUCCCGGAGCCUCCUUUGCGUAGUAACUUUACGUCUCGCACUGGGAUCCGGAGGGACUCUUGCCGUAAAACCCCCAAUUUUCCAAAGGUUGACCUCGGAUCAGGUAGGAAUACCCGCUGAACUUAAGCAUAUCAAU